AAGCGAGCCUGCGAGGGGGAGGCAAAUCCCAAAAAUAAACGUCCCAGUUCGGAUUGUAGUCUGCAACUCGACUACAUGAAGCUGGAAUCGCUAGUAAUCGCGGAUCAGAAUGCCGCGGUGAAUACGUUCCCGGGUCUUGUACACACCGCCCGUCACACCAUGGGAGUCGGAAAUGCCCGAAGUCUGUGACCCAACCGAGAGGAGGGAGCAGCCGAAGGCAGGUCGGAUGACUGGGGUGAAGUCGUAACAAGGUACC
This 256-nucleotide ribosomal RNA is filed under the name uncultured bacterium. RNAcentral's name for it is "partial 16S ribosomal RNA". It matches the Rfam family "Bacterial small subunit ribosomal RNA", at positions 1247 to 1500 of the family's 1533-position model. The record is from RNAcentral.